Molecule: RNase P RNA, 178 nt
Filed under: Desulfobacterales bacterium
Lineage: Bacteria; Pseudomonadati; Thermodesulfobacteriota; Desulfobacteria; Desulfobacterales
Description: RNase P RNA component class A
Rfam family: Bacterial RNase P class A
About the family: Ribonuclease P (RNase P) is a ubiquitous endoribonuclease, found in archaea, bacteria and eukarya as well as chloroplasts and mitochondria. Its best characterised activity is the generation of mature 5'-ends of tRNAs by cleaving the 5'-leader elements of precursor-tRNAs. Cellular RNase Ps are ribonucleoproteins.
Source: RNAcentral
CCGGUUCGGUUUCCGGAUCGGAGGAAAGUCCGAACACCAUAGGGCAGGGUGCUCCAUAACGUGGAGUCGCGGUGACGCGAAGGCAAGUGCAACAGAAAGCAAACCGCCUCGCCUCGGCGGGGUAAGGGUGAAACGGUGCGGUAAGAGCGCACCAGUUCUUGGCCUGCUCCGGCCGUUC